CUCUCAUCCCCGGAACUACAAGUAUCACUACUACACGACACCCAAUGACUACCAUCAUGGAACCUGCAACUACAAAGAAGAAGUGCUGGUGUCUCCCCCCGAACUGCACCCCCUAUAUGUACCACUUUAGUCUCUGCACUCCUCUCCCAU
Hyla sarda is the source of this 150-nucleotide long non-coding RNA. RefSeq lists it as uncharacterized. The transcript is spliced from 3 exons. The record is from RefSeq and is a predicted model, not a curated record. NCBI's taxonomy places the organism in Eukaryota, Metazoa, Chordata, Amphibia, Anura, Hylidae.